CAAGUCGAACGAGAACGGAUUAUAGCUUGCUAUAAUUGUCAGCUAAGUGGCGCACGGGUGAGUAAUGUAUAGGUAAUAUGCCUCUUACUAAGGGAUAACAAAUGGAAAACGUUUGCUAAUACCUUAUACUCCUUAUUAACAGGAAGUUAAUAAGGGAAAGAUUUAUUGGUAAGAGAUUAGCCUGUAUUGUAUCAGUUAGUUGGUGGGGUAAUGGCUUACCAAGACUAUGACACAUAACUGGUUUGAGAGGAUGAUCAGUCACACUGGAACUGAGACACGGUCCAGACUCCUACGGGAGGCAGCAGUGGGGAAUAUUGCACAAUGGACGAAAGUCUGAUGCAGCAACGCCGCGUGGAGGAUGACACAUUUCGGUGCGUAAACUCCUUUUAUAUGAGAAGAUAAUGACGGUAUUAUAUGAAUAAGCACCGGCUAACUCCGUG
RNAcentral lists this ribosomal RNA (440 nucleotides) under uncultured bacterium. RNAcentral's name for it is "bacterial SSU rRNA". It matches the Rfam family "Bacterial small subunit ribosomal RNA", at positions 58 to 507 of the family's 1533-position model. The record is from RNAcentral.